ACUGUUGCGCGACUAGCCAACGGAAGUUUGAGGCAAUAACAGGUCUGUGAUGCCCUUAGAUGUUCUGGGCCGCACGCGCGCUACACUGGUGAAGUCAACGAGUUCAUUCCUUGGCCGGAAGGCCCGGGUAAUCUUGAGAAACUUCAUCGUGCUGGGGAUAGAGCAUUGCAAUUAUUGCUCUUCAACGAGGAAUCCCUAGUAAGCGUGAGUCAUCAGCUCGCGUUGAUUACGUCCCUGCCCUUUGUACACACCGCCCGUCGCUACUACCGAUUGAAUGGCUUAGUGAGACCCUCGGAUUGUAGAUCGUGGUGUUGGCAACAACAUACGGUUAGCGAGAAGUUGGUCAAACUUGGUCAUUUAGAGGAAGUAAAAGUCGUAACAAGGGUUCCGUAGGUGAACCUGCGGAAGGAUCAUUAAAAAAGGGUCGCAAGACCCAUUUUAAAACCUACCACCACCUAUCAUCAUCUAUGGGUGAGAUGGAGGAGGUAGGACUUUUAAACCCAUAUUUUUAUAUAUAUAUCGUCUAACGACGAAAUAAAAAAAAACCAAAAACUUUCAACAAUGGAUCUCUUUGGCUCUC
This 580-nucleotide ribosomal RNA is filed under the name Archaeospora sp. PODO7.3. Its description in RNAcentral is "bacterial SSU rRNA". The stretch from base 1 to 416 matches the Rfam family "Eukaryotic small subunit ribosomal RNA", at positions 1418 to 1831 of the family's 1831-position model. Lineage: Eukaryota; Fungi; Glomeromycota; Glomeromycetes; Archaeosporales; Archaeosporaceae. The record is from RNAcentral.